RNAcentral lists this ribosomal RNA (253 nucleotides) under uncultured bacterium. RNAcentral describes it as "partial 16S ribosomal RNA". It matches the Rfam family "Bacterial small subunit ribosomal RNA", at positions 524 to 776 of the family's 1533-position model. The record is from RNAcentral.
CACGUAGGGCGCAAGCGUUGUCCGGAAUUAUUGGGCGUAAAGAGCUCGUAGGCGGUCUGUUACGUCUGCUGUGAAAACCCUGGGCUUAACCCUGGGCUUGCAGUGGAUACGGGCAGACUAGAGGCAGGUAGGGGAGAAUGGAAUUCCCGGUGUAGCGGUGAAAUGCGCAGAUAUCGGGAGGAACACCGGUGGCGAAGGCGGUUCUCUGGGCCUUACCUGACGCUGAGGAGCGAAAGCGUGGGGAGCGAACAGG